This 2785-nucleotide long non-coding RNA is filed under the name Lynx pardinus (Iberian lynx). The record is from RNAcentral. Lineage: Eukaryota; Metazoa; Chordata; Mammalia; Carnivora; Felidae.
GGGCGCCCAGUGCUGCGGCAAGCGGGUCUCCCCGGGAGCUCCGAAGACACCGCCCCGGGGCGGAGACGAAGACGCGGUCCUCCCGGGACAAGAGACCAGCCUGAGAAAGGGUGCGUUCCAAAACCAGAGGUUAAGGGCGGCGAUCGGGGCGCGUCCCCGGGAUCGGGGAGCCCCGGCCUGGAGCGCGCGGCGGGAACCCGCUCUCCAGCCCUGGGUUUGGCUCUGGCCUCACGCUGGACGCUCGGCCUCGUCCUGGCCUGUAGACUCACCAGUUUUCACCUGGGUUCGGGGGUGGGGGGGGGCUCUAGGACAUCUUCACAUCUCUGUCCUUGGCACCUAGUCCCAUGCCUACAAAGCGCUCUGUCUUCCCAUUUGCUGAUAAUUAUUACGGUAAUAACAACUGACCAUUAACUGAGCACUUACUGUGUGCCUGGCACUCCGCUGUCUCCUGAACAGGCGGUAUAGCUUACAGUCUCCACAACAGCCCUAUGAGGUAGGUGCUGUUAUCAUUCCCAUUUGACAAAUGGGCGCAGAGAGGCCUGGAACCAAAUCUCUGAUUCUGCCUUUCAGGCUCUCUACCACUAUAUACUGGGCUGCCUUCUCUUCUGCGAGGCGGGGAGGGGGGAUGAUUAAUGAUCGUUAUUCAAAGAGAAGAUAAGGUUAUUGCUAACUAGCUUUGCCAACAAAUCAAUGACACUUGUUCGAGAUUUAUAAAUAUGUGUUGAAUCUACAGAUCCCACUCACACCGCUUCCCCAAAUUAUGUCAGAGGCUAUAAAGGAUGCCACAGCCCUAUGCUGCCCUGGAGGCCAGGGCACUGCCCUGCAAGGUUUCUCAGGCACCGAAGGCUGAGCUGAGUGGAGAGAGGAGUCCUGGACGCCCUGUUGAGGUGGGUGGACAGAUGCCAGGGCAGGGGUCCCUGGGAGGCUCCCAGAAGCAGGAAAGGCUUUGGAGACCAUACACCAAGCCCCGCCCCCAUAUAAAUGGAGAAACUGAGGCCCAGGAAUAAAAGGUUUUCACUUCCCUCUGCUGUGGAAGGCCUCCUGUACUCUGGCCACUCCUCCUCCUUCUUCUUCCCAUUACUGCUCAGUGCCCAUAAGGGAUGAUCUUAACCAGUCCUCCCUCCUGGCUUAUUACCACUCGUAUUUUGCAGAAAGACAGACUGGGGGCUGCAGCAGCUGAAGAUAACAAGAGAGAAGCAGAUAUCCAAACCCUGGUCUUCCUGCACUAAAGCCCUCAGCUGAUACAUCGAACAGCGUCCCAGAAAAAGCACCAAGCACUGCACAAAUGGAAAGCAUUUUGUCAAAAUUAUGAUUAUAAACUCAUGCCCGAUUCGUGAGUUACAAAAACAAAACGUAAACAGCACAGCCUGAGUUGUUAAAGCGACUUUUUUCUAAAAGCUCAACGUGCUUUCACUUCAUGGUCUCUCUUCUCCUAAUUUUAUGAUUGUCGUUUUUCUAACCGUUCUCUAAGAGCGCUGUCUCCCAACAGUCCUCGGAGGAAAGGAGGAAAUAAGCAGAAGUCAAACCGUAUUACAAUCAGUUCCCAGGGAACAGUGGGAGAUUGUGCUUCGCUGGGCUUUGGUGUUGCAAAAUAUCACUUGACAAAAAAAUUGGAAGCAACUUAGAUGGUUAUCAGCAGGAUGGAGUCAGCUAGGGGAUCAUUCUAAACAACCAUCCAGAGAUGUAGCAACAUGAAAAUAAUGCUUACAGUAUAGUUGUGAGCAAAAAGGAGAAGACAAAAAACACUGUGCAUGCACUCUGUCCUUGCAACCACUAAAAAUAAAUAUAAGUGCUCGUGAUCCAAGACUCAAAAGGACCAUGCACAAAGGAAACAGGCUUUGUUUAAGGUCGAGAGAUUAUGGCUGAUUUUUUCCUCUUAAUUUCCUAAAUAUUCUACAAUAUACUAUAUGGCCUUAAUAACUAAACACACGCAUAGCUCUAUCUUUAAACGUGGUAAUUCUUUUUUUUUUUUUUUUGAUGUCUAUUUAUUUUUGAGAGACAGAGACAGAGUGUGAGUGGGAGAGGGGCAGAGACAAAGGAAGACACAGAAUCGGAAGCAGGCUCCAGGCUCUGAGCUGUCAGCCCAGAGCCCCACGUGGGGCUAGAACUCACCAACUGUGAGAUUGUGACCUGAGCCGAAGUUGGAAGCUUAGCGGACAGUGCCACGGAGGCACUGAGACACCCCUAAACAUGGCAACUCUUAAUGUGAUAUCUACGUUGGAAAAACUUUUUUAAACACAAAAGCAUUGGAAGAUCUAUUGAAAUAAACAAUGCUAGUUUGAGACUACAUAGAAAUUUAAAUGUUUUAAACUUCAAAAACUACUAUUAACACAUAAGGUUAAAAGUUUGGAAGGACAUACUCCAAAAAUGUUAGUCACAAGUCCAAGGGGUAGGAAUGUAGGAGAUUUUUACUUUCUUCUUUAUGAUUUGCUAUAAUGUCUGAUUUUCUUUACCAUGAUAGCCCAUUGUUUUCACGAUCACACACAAAACACUAAGAUCCAGUAUAACUGGGCAAAUGGCACAGAUGGACAAUUCACAAAAUCGGAGUUUCAAAUGAUCAAUUAACAGGUUUUUUUUUUAAAAAAAGCGUUUAUUAAAUCAACGAAUUAUAUCAUUCCUGCCUCUACUUUCAUCAAAUCGGCGAAUCAUUUUUUAAACUACAUUACCUACAGCCAGAGAGACAGGCACUCACACUUACUGCUUCUGAGAUUAUGACAGAUAUUGGAAUUUUCAGAAAGCAGUCUUGUAAUAUGUAUUAAGAACCAUCAAAAUGUCUAUAUUCUUU